This 2061-nucleotide ribosomal RNA is filed under the name Triticum aestivum (bread wheat). RNAcentral describes it as "partial small subunit ribosomal RNA". Lineage: Eukaryota; Viridiplantae; Streptophyta; Magnoliopsida; Poales; Poaceae. The record is from RNAcentral.
AUGGAAAACCAUUGGCUGGAGGUUGAAGAAGCCAGAAAUAUCAUUGCUGAUUGUUGGUCGAGGGGCACCAGACACAUUCAAUCCUCUGCCUCUCUCAUAAAUUUCAAGAUGAGGAGAACAAGGGCUGCUCUUAGGAGCUGGUGCAGAAAACAGUCCAGUUUGAAGCUGCUCACGGAGAACAACAAACAUGUGGUCUCUUUUCUGAACGCUGUUGAAGAGCGGCGCAGCUUAUCUGUCUUGGAAUCUGUGCUGAGGGAGUUUGCUUCAGCCAAGGCAGAACAGCUCAUCAUUUGGCAAACGGCUCUCUGGAGACGACGUGCCAAGGUUCGCUGGUGUGUUUCGGGUGACGAAAACUGUCAGUUUUUUCAUGCUGCUGCUAACUGUCAAGCCCGGCGUAAUAAUAUCAAGGUUAUUGUCAAGGAUGGGGUGGAAUAUUUUCAAAAUAGCCAAAAGCUCAGUCUGGCUACAAGCUACUUUGCUGAGAUUCUUGGUCAGCCGGCUCUCUCGAGGCCUUCUGUGCAGUUAAGUUCAUUAUACCAACAUGUGGAUUUAUCUGAGCUAGCUGAGGCUUUUUCUUGGGCAGAAAUAGUGGAGGCCAUCAACAUAUUGCCAGCUAACAAGAGUCCGGGGCCAGAUGGUUUUACGAACGAAUUCUACAAAGCUUUUAAGCUACUACUGAAGGACGAUCUUCUCCGGUUUUUCAGUGACCUGCAUAGUAACAAUGUGUGCCUGGAUAGCAUUAAUACAGCGUUCAUAACCUUGCUGCCCAAGAAAGACACUCCUCUGGAAAUGCGUGAUUUCAGGCCAAUUUCCUUGGUACACAGUACGCCCAAGCUAGCCUCCAAGGUUAUGGCUCAUAGACUGAAAAAGAGGAUACCUGAGUUAGUCCACUUACUGCAAUCUGGGUUCAUGCGUGGCCGAUCUAUUGUGGAAAAUUUCACGUUAGCUGCUGAAAUGAUACAAUAUGCUCAUAAAAGGAGAAUGCCAGUUGUUGCCUUGAAGCUGGAUUUCCACAAAGCGUUUGACUCUGUUAGUUGGCACUGCCUGCACCAAGUGCUCGAGGCCCGAGGCUUCCCUCCAGCAUGGAAUCAGUGGGUUCGUUCUCUACUCUCCACCGGACGCUCUCGUGUUCUGAUCAAUGGCGAGCUGGGUGAUCCUAUUCUUGCCAAACGAGGGUUCCGGCAAGGCGAUUCUUUGUCACCAUAUCUAUUCAUCUUGGUAGCUGACGUACUACAGAGGAUGUGUUGUCAUCUCUUCCAAGAAGGUACUCUGCUGCAUCCCCUUGUCUCGGAUAGGUUCUUCCCAGUGCUGCAAUAUGCAGACGACACACUGAUUUUGUUCCAAGGGAACCUGCAACAGGCGGCUAUCAUCAAGAGCAUCCUCUCCCGUUUUGCGGAUUUUUCUGGGCUAAGGAUAAACUUCCACAAGAGCAUGCUUGUACCUGUCUCUAUGGACGCGGGUGUGGCAGUUGAGAUUGCUCAGCUCCUAGGGUGUCCUGUUUCGACCUUUCCUUGCACAUACCUGGGCUUACCGCUGUCUUUGCACAAGAUCACACAUGGCAUGUUGCUUCCAGUUAUUCAUAGGGUGGAUCGGAGACUAUCCGGAUGGUUGGCCACCUUCCUAUCCAUGGGCGGCAGGCUCACCCUCAUUAAUUCUGUUCUCACCGGCAUCCCGAGCUAUUUCAUGUCAUGCUUUCCAUGGCCCAAAGAAUCCAUCCAAGCUUUAGACAGUGUGCUGCGAGCUUUCUUCUGGCAGGGCAAAAACAAGGUCAAAGGGGGUCAUUGCCUCGUGGCUUGGGACAAAGUCAAUCUUCCCCGAGCAAAUGGAGGCCUGGGCAUCAGGAACCUGCAAGCACAUAAUCAGGCUAUGUUAUGCAAAUUCGCCACUAAUAUUCUGCAGCACUCUGAGGUCCCAUGCUAUCAAUGGUUCCCCAUGCAGUAUUGUAAGAGUGUUGUGCCUCACAGUGCUGGCAGCAGAGACACGGCCAUGUGGAGAGGGUUUAAAGAGUGCACUCCUAUGGUGAUCAACUCAUCGCGCUGUGUGCUGGCUCUGGAGAUUUAA